This 628-nucleotide long non-coding RNA is filed under the name Parus major (Great Tit). Its description in RNAcentral is "lncRNA (ENSPMJG00000005528.1)". The record is from RNAcentral. Lineage: Eukaryota; Metazoa; Chordata; Aves; Passeriformes; Paridae.
UAGGAGUGCUGGGGCUGCAGAAAACAUCCCAGCUCUGGCAGGAGGCUUAGCUGGCUGAAUGAUCAACUCCAUGAACAGUCCUCAGGUUCUGUCUCAUGACAACGAAUUCUGGAACAGUGACUUAAGAAAAGCAAUAAGGCAUUUAAGCAAGCUGUUGUCCCUGGAAAGUAAGUGCCUUUAGGAAUGUAUCUCACAACCUUGUGGGUGGGUAUUUAGAUAGCCAGUUGGAAGCAGUGAGUGGACAGUGCCCUGUGGGGUUUCUGGAACACCUCUGUCCCUAUCAUACCCUAUACCCCCUAUACCAUAGCCCCUAUCACAGCCUGGAUCAGGUGAAGGGCUGGGAGGGAGUGCAUGCUCUGACAUUCAGUUGGAGCAUUCAGAUGUGAUACGUGAAAUACCUUUCUGAAUUCAGUGAGAUAACUUAGGACAUUUUUAACAUUGGGAUGAAAAUAUUCAAAACUUUGUCAGCAUUGUGAUGAUUGUAGAGAUUUCCUCAUCUCUUCCCAGAUAUGCACCAGAAGAAAAAACUCAAUUAUAGAUACUAGGCCACUGAAAGGAUCAUAAAAAUGCUGCAGUGUCAAGGAGUUUAUUAAAAUCAACUUUGAUAUUCUGACAAAAAUUUCACUGA